Molecule: long non-coding RNA, 417 nt
Filed under: Mytilus galloprovincialis (Mediterranean mussel)
Lineage: Eukaryota; Metazoa; Mollusca; Bivalvia; Mytilida; Mytilidae
Source: RNAcentral
GGGGGCUUCAUUUCUUAUUUCUUUAUUUUUUAGGCAACUUUACUGUAUUCUUUAUGUAUACACAUUGUCCACUAUUCUCUAUUCUUUACAUAUUAUCACAAAAUAAAAUCAUUAUACUCCAUUCUUUUUUCUUUUUUUUUAUGCCCCACCUACGAUAGUAGAGGGGCAUUAUGUUUUCUGGUCUGUGCCUCCGUUCGUUUGUCCGUCUGUCCGUCCGUCCGUCCGUCUGUCGUUGCGUUCGGUUAAAGUUUUUGGUCGAGGUAGUUUUUGAUGAAGCUGAAGUCCAAUCAACUUGAAACUUAGUACACAUGUUCCCCAUGUUAUGAUCUUUCUAAAAUUAAUGCCAAAUUAUAGUUUUGACCCCAAUUUCACGGUCCACUGAACAUAGAAAAUGAUAGUGGGAGUGGGGCAUCUGUG